CCUACGGGAGGCAGCAGUAAGGAAUAUUGGUCAAUGGACGAAAGUCUGAACCAGCCAUGCCGCGUGAAGGAUGAAGGCCCUCUGGGUUGUAAACUUCUUUUAUCUGGGACGAAAAAGGGAAUUCUUUCUCACUUGACGGUACCAGAGGAAUAAGCACCGGCUAACUCCGUGCCAGCAGCCGCGGUAAUACGGAGGGUGCAAGCGUUAUCCGGAUUUACUGGGUUUAAAGGGAGCGUAGGUGGGCAGGUAAGUCAGUGGUGAAAUCUCCGGGCUUAACCCGGAAACUGCCAUUGAUACUAUCUGUCUUGAAUAUUCUGGAGGCAAGCGGAAUAUGUCAUGUAGCGGUGAAAUGCUUAGAUAUGACAUAGAACACCAAUUGCGAAGGCAGCUUACUACGGGAUUAUUGACACUGAGGCUCGAAAGCGUGGGGAUCAAACAGGAUUAGAUACCCUGGUAGUCCACGCCCUAAACGAUGGAUACUCGACAUCAGCGAUACACUGUUGGUGUCUGAGNGAAGACAUAUAUACCACCUACGAGUAGANGCAGAGUAGAAUAAUAGAGUAGAGNGNGAGAGNGACGACGACGACGACGAGGAGGAGG
RNAcentral lists this ribosomal RNA (600 nucleotides) under uncultured bacterium. RNAcentral describes it as "bacterial SSU rRNA". The stretch from base 1 to 531 matches the Rfam family "Bacterial small subunit ribosomal RNA", at positions 338 to 873 of the family's 1533-position model. The record is from RNAcentral.